AUUGAACGCUAGCGGGAUGCUUUACACAUGCAAGUCGAACGGCAGCGCGGACUUCGGUCUGGCGGCGAGUGGCGAACGGGUGAGUAAUGUAUCGGAACGUGCCCAGUAGCGGGGGAUAACUACGCGAAAGCGUAGCUAAUACCGCAUACGCCCUACGGGGGAAAGCAGGGGAUCGUAAGACCUUGCACUAUUGGAUGGGCCGAUAUCGGAUUAGCUAGUUGGUGAGGUAACGGCUCACCAAGGCAACGAUCCGUAGCUGGUUUGAGAGGAUGAGCAGCCACACUGGAACUGAGACACGGCCCAGACUACUACGGGAGGCAGCAGUGGGGAAUUUUGGACAAUGGGGGCAACCCUGAUCCAGCCAUCCCGCGUGUGGGAAGAAGGCCUUCGGGUUGUAAAGCACUUUUGGCAGGAAAGAAACGUAGCGGGCUAAUACCCCGUGGAACUGACGGUACCUGAAGAAUAAGCACCGGCUAACUACGUG
This 484-nucleotide ribosomal RNA is filed under the name uncultured bacterium. RNAcentral describes it as "partial 16S ribosomal RNA". It matches the Rfam family "Bacterial small subunit ribosomal RNA", at positions 30 to 507 of the family's 1533-position model. The record is from RNAcentral.